GCCUCGGUGGCUCAGCAGGUAGAGNNUAGCUCAGUGGUAGAGCAGCUGAUUCGUAAUCAGCAGGUCGGGGGUUCAAAUCCCCUCCGAGGCU
This 91-nucleotide transfer RNA is filed under the name Halobacteria archaeon. RNAcentral's name for it is "tRNA-Thr". It matches the Rfam family "tRNA". From Rfam's summary of the family: Transfer RNA (tRNA) molecules are approximately 80 nucleotides in length. Lineage: Archaea; Methanobacteriati; Methanobacteriota; Halobacteria. The record is from RNAcentral.